This 253-nucleotide ribosomal RNA is filed under the name uncultured bacterium. RNAcentral's name for it is "partial 16S ribosomal RNA". It matches the Rfam family "Bacterial small subunit ribosomal RNA", at positions 524 to 776 of the family's 1533-position model. The record is from RNAcentral.
UACAAAGGGGGCUAGCGUUGUUCGGAAUUACUGGGCGUAAAGCGCACGUAGGCGGACUAUUAAGUCAGGGGUGAAAUCCCGGGGCUCAACCCCGGAACUGCCUUUGAUACUGGUAGUCUCGAGUCCGGAAGAGGUGAGUGGAAUUCCGAGUGUAGAGGUGAAAUUCGUAGAUAUUCGGAGGAACACCAGUGGCGAAGGCGGCUCACUGGUCCGGUACUGACGCUGAGGUGCGAAAGCGUGGGGAGCAAACAGG